AUAUUUUCUCUUCUUCUUGUCUGAGGCUUCACAUGGAGAUUUGUGAGGUGGCAUAUGAGAGGAGUAUCGAAGUGGAAGCUUGGAUUAGUGUUCAUUCAAGAAAGUGUUGGUAUGUCCUCACUUGAUUCGAGGACUUCAUGUAUGUUUUGUUUUUCUUAUUGAAAGUAUUUUAAUAGACUUAGAUAUUUCUAUAUGUUGAAGUAUGGGUCGUUUCCGAAGAUAUUCGUAUGUCUAAGAUGGUGACAUUCA
Molecule: long non-coding RNA, 249 nt
Organism: Solanum pennellii
Lineage: Eukaryota; Viridiplantae; Streptophyta; Magnoliopsida; Solanales; Solanaceae
Exons: 2
Source: RefSeq, a predicted model, not a curated record